Molecule: small nucleolar RNA, 126 nt
Organism: Jaculus jaculus (lesser Egyptian jerboa)
Lineage: Eukaryota; Metazoa; Chordata; Mammalia; Rodentia; Dipodidae
Product: small nucleolar RNA SNORA26
Exons: 1
Source: RefSeq, a predicted model, not a curated record
GUGCCCUUUUAAGGUUGGGACAGUACUUUGAGAGGCUAACACAGAAGGAUAAAGGAAAUGAACCUCCAUAAAACCCAGAUAAGAGAUGGCAAACCUCCUCUCUGGAUCCUGUCUGGAGUCACAUGU